Long non-coding RNA from Seriola aureovittata, 436 nucleotides. RefSeq lists it as uncharacterized. NCBI's taxonomy places the organism in Eukaryota, Metazoa, Chordata, Actinopteri, Carangiformes, Carangidae. The transcript has 2 exons. The record is from RefSeq and is a predicted model, not a curated record.
UACCCGGGCAAGCCUCAGCCCAGCUACCCCGCUCAAUCCCGGCCCCAGCAGCCCAGCUACCUGGGCAAGCCUCAGCCCAGCUACCCCGCUCAACUCCAGCCCCAGCAGCCCAGCUACCCAGGCAAGCCCCAGCUUCAUCUCCAGGCCAGGCCAGAGCAGCCAAGUUUUGGCAUGACCCAACGCAAAGUUGGAAUGUGGGACUCUCGUCCUUCCCAGGACAGUGAUGCUUAUGACUCGAUAGAGAAGUCCACCAACUCUGAAAUUCAGCCAAGAUCUUAUGGCUCUCUGAGGUAUUGGGGCUAUAUUUAAAACCCCUGGUCCUGGUAUCUUCGUCAAUCCCAUGUUUGACUUUGGAUAUGCUUUCUGUUCCUGACUUCUUCCUGGAAGCUAUCCUGGCAUCAACUUUGUGAAAUUGAAUAAAGUACUUAGAACUGCA